GCUUUCGUGGUGUAGUGGUCAGCACGCUCGACGCGUAACCGAGAGGUCCGUGGUUCAAUUCCCGGCGAAGGCU
RNAcentral lists this transfer RNA (73 nucleotides) under Stegodyphus mimosarum. It matches the Rfam family "tRNA". Rfam says of the family: Transfer RNA (tRNA) molecules are approximately 80 nucleotides in length. Their secondary structure includes four short double-helical elements and three loops (D, anti-codon, and T loops). The record is from Rfam by way of RNAcentral. Lineage: Eukaryota; Metazoa; Arthropoda; Arachnida; Araneae; Eresidae.